UACGUAGGGUGCGAGCGUUAAUCGGAAUCACUGGGCGUAAAGCGCACGUAGGCGGACUCUUAAGUCAGGGGUGAAAUCCUGGAGCUCAACUCCAGAACUGCCUUUGAUACUGGGAGUCUUGAGUUCGGGAGAGGUGAGUGGAACUGCGAGUGUAGAGGUGAAAUUCGUAGAUAUUCGCAAGAACACCAGUGGCGAAGGCGGCUCACUGGCCCGAUACUGACGCUGAGGUGCGAAAGCGUGGGGAGCAAACAGG
This 253-nucleotide ribosomal RNA is filed under the name uncultured bacterium. RNAcentral's name for it is "partial 16S ribosomal RNA". It matches the Rfam family "Bacterial small subunit ribosomal RNA", at positions 524 to 776 of the family's 1533-position model. The record is from RNAcentral.